AUGAACGCUGGCUGCGUGCCUAAUACAUGCAAGUCGCGCGAACAGACGAGGAGCUUGCUCCUCUGACGUUAGCGGCGGACGGGUGAGUAACACGUGGAUAACCUACCUAUAAGACUGGGAUAACUUCGGGAAACCGGAGCUAAUACCGGAUAAUAUAUUGAACCGCAUGGUUCAAUAGUGAAAGACGGUUUUGCUGUCACUUAUAGAUGGAUCCGCGCCGCAUUAGCUAGUUGGUAAGGUAACGGCUUACCAAGGCAACGAUGCGUAGCCGACCUGAGAGGGUGAUCGGCCACACUGGAACUGAGACACGGUCCAGACUCCUACGGGAGGCAGCAGUAGGGAAUCUUCCGCAAUGGGCGAAAGCCUGACGGAGCAACGCCGCGUGAGUGAUGAAGGUCUUCGGAUCGUAAAACUCUGUUAUUAGGGAAGAACAAAUGUGUAAGUAACUAUGCACGUCUUGACGGUACCUAAUCAGAAAGCCACGGCUAACUACGUG
This 496-nucleotide ribosomal RNA is filed under the name uncultured bacterium. RNAcentral's name for it is "partial 16S ribosomal RNA". It matches the Rfam family "Bacterial small subunit ribosomal RNA", at positions 29 to 507 of the family's 1533-position model. The record is from RNAcentral.